Oxyura jamaicensis (ruddy duck) is the source of this 5919-nucleotide long non-coding RNA. RefSeq lists it as uncharacterized. Lineage: Eukaryota; Metazoa; Chordata; Aves; Anseriformes; Anatidae. The record is from RefSeq and is a predicted model, not a curated record. The transcript has 5 exons.
CGGCUCCGAGCCAUGGCCAGCCUGAUGCACGUUACAAAACCGAACAGCGUGCUUGCACUGGUGGGUUACUAAAGCUAGUUUUGUGUAGGAAGUGUCACACUUUGUCAUCGCCUGAGUCUGCAGCAGGGCCUCUCCCUGAAGGUGUGUGCAGGGAACGACCUGCUGCGAUCCCCUCGCUGACAGGAGGCAUUGCCCUGCCCGAGUCACCCACGUGCCCGACGCUUCCAGCAGCAGUUGCUUCCUGCAUUGUUCCAUCGCUCACGAGCACUGGAAAGGAGCAGCCUGGUGCUUCCUCGCUGACUCAGGCCCUGGGGAGACCAGGAUGAUUGGAGUCACAUCGCGCUCCCCCUUCAUGUGCAUGCAAGCAAAGACUGUCACAAACACUGGAUCAGAGCACAUAGCCUAGAAAGACGCUGAAUCUCCUCUUAAAGGCUGAAGAUGGAUCAGGCCAGCAUUUCCCUGCUCACCAGCCUCCUGCACGAGCUGGCAGAGGUUUCCCAAAUGCGAUUCAGCAAGGAGAGGUACCAGAGAGGGGUGGGAUGCAGCUGAGUAAAGCUGCAGACUCUGGUCCUCAUGGUAUAGGAACAUGUGAAGACAAAAGCCCAGAAAGAGCAUUUGGGUCAGCAAAGCCCCAAAUCUCCCUGACUUUGUUCACCCCCUAGAAUUACAUAUUCACAACCAGGGCCCCGUGUGUUUCGUGCAGGGUAACUGGAGCUGGCUAUCCAGGCUGAAGGUUAAGAAGACUGCAAGUGGUGGAUUUGUAUCAAAACCAGCUCAGUUACCCUAUCUGGAAGCGGGACAACAGUGAAAUCAGAAAUUACAGGCUAACUGUCUUUGUAUCUGCAGAUGUAGCUCUACUGUCACUGCGAGCUGUUCCAGGAUUAGCAGGUAGCAGCGUUCACCACAGGUGCUCCACAUCUCCUCCAUGCCCUAACCAGAAGACCUGUUUACGGACAGGGAAACGGAGCCAACGUGCGAUGAUCCUAGUGCCACAAACCAGUGGCAGGCCAUCCAGAGCCCCCGGUUAGACCCAGCAGACCUAGUAACUUCUGCAGCUAUUACAAGCGGGAAGAAAGGGCAGGAGUGCUCGUAGGGGCCUAAUUGGAAACAGGUGAGUCACUGGAAACCUUUCUGUCCCUUCAGCAGGCUGUACAUGACGACUGCAAAUAGUCGGGGCCCAACUUCUCUAGGAUGUAUAGCUACAAGGAAGGAAUGAGGCACGAAGCUUGGGAAUCAAAAAUCCUUUCCCUGUCUGCAUCUGCCUGAGAAAUGGAAAAAGAAAGGGCAGCUGGUUUGUGAAUGCUUCCUUGCUAGAACUGUGGAUUUGAAAUCUCUGUCAUUGAUUAAAGAGGAGAAUGCAAUUGCACAUGCCAUUAAUUAUUACUGAUAAACCGAAGUAGUGGAGUCAAAUAAAAAUAUCCUGCCCUAUGAUCAGAUUCUGGCAAAAAGAAAGACCCAGGAGCCUCCAGCCCAUUAGCAUUUCCCUUUUUUUGUGUGUGUGUGUGAAAUAUGUGUCUGAAUCGCUAGGUCUCCAAACCCGGCGUGUACUCAGAGUAUGUGAUGUCUAUAGGUGCAGAUCAAGGGAGAUGAACUUUAGCUACACAGACAGCAAAAGGCAGCUUACAGUUCCUUUAACAUGUGACCAGUCCCAAUUAUGGCUUCUUCCAUAUGACAUCAGUAUGCGAUGGAGGAUCGCACUUUUUUUUUUCUUGCCAGAGGCAAAUGAAUACAUUAUCCAGCAGUGAGGCGUGGGGCAAGCGGAUGCGUAACUCUGGGGUGAUUUGGAUUCCGCGCUCGCGCGGGGGUGUGAGCCAACCUCAGAAGUCAUUUUCACUGAUGCUGACACAUAAGGCAUCCCUCAGAGACCUGUCUAUCAAACUGCAACAUGCUAUGCAGAAAAAUUAGAUUACUCAUGCUACAAUAAAGAAGGGAAGAUGACAAUGAUGAAAAAAAAAAAAGGACUUCAAAAUAUAACAGAUAUUUAUGAAAUGAAUAAAAAUCCUAACGAUGGGAAAGUAUCCUAGAGACUUUUUAUUUAUUUGUUUUAGCUCUCGCAAAGCAUUUCAAGGAGAGCUAGUUGGAAAGACCCUAUUAAUUCAGACACUGCCUCUGGAAAAAACACCACUUCAUCAUGAUUGUCACAUUACUGUACUUGUGAAAUAUCAUCUUAAAUACUCAUUAUGAUUUUGCUGCUGGUCUUGCUGCAGUCAGCACCAGGGCUUCCUUUGGCUCUGGUAAGUGCAGGAUCAGGCCCUCUCCCUCUCUUUCUCUCCCUCUGAAUUGCAAAUGGAUUGUUCACGUGUCAGCUCAGUAACUAGGCAAAGUUCACCGUGCUCAGUUCAAAGCAUGCAAGAUGAAGCUCAAGGCAUUUCACUCACAGUAUUUGCAGAGUUCCUCGGGUCUACAAAAGUGUUAAAGUGGUUUAAUACAAAAUCCAUAAGACAAACAUUAUGCAGCUAUGUGUGAACCCCUGUCCAAUAAAAUCUAUGUCUUUGGGAAAAAAAUACAAAGUAGUAAAACAUACUUAGUAAAGAAAAGAAAAGGCUAUGUGAAGCUUAGUAAAAUCCCAUAAAACAGAAUGCCGAACAGCUUCAGGAAGGGAGAUUUAAAAUAAAUCUGCAGAAGAACAUGCACACACACACACAGAGCCCGUAGCUGGAAAUGGAUCUGGACAAGUGCCGAGGUUAGAACAUCUCAGACUGCACUGUGGGACUGGUUUUACAAUAUCAGAUAAUGAAAGGUUUGGCUGAAUGCUGUUUUUUCUUCUCUAGUAAUAACAAACCUAUGCCGAGGCUUCUGUGGUAUUCCUUGAGUUAUUCCCCAGGAAUGCUAUCUGGGAAAGCUAACAGAUUUUAAACUCCACCUGCCCUGACUCAUCUAUUAGCCGCACUGCUCUCAGCUGCAUAUUCUGUUUUACUUCUUGUUUCUGAAGGAGCCAGUUGUUGUAUGUUGGUUUGAUUUGUGAAGCAGUUCCAGCCCCUUUCCCAGGGGGUUUACUUUCCUGUCUUGAUUGUCUCCUCCAAAUAUUUCUUCCCAAAGAUAAGCUUUGGUUCCUGUCCAAACCAGAAGAGGAGGACCAUAAGCUCUCCUGUGGCCCUCCAUCUUGUGCAGCCUCAUUCUCCCAGCGUGUGACACUGCUAUGCCAAGUGGUGUGGAUCAACCAGACGGCAGGCUUUAUGCCUGCCUAGGAGUUUUGGAGGUCUGGGUUUUUUUUUGGCUAUGGCUGCUUAAUAGAGACGUGUGAUUGCAACAUGACCACACAUAGUGUAAGCACGCAGAAAUAUAGGUCUCUUUAAAAUUGUCAGGAGCAAAUAUGAUCAGAUCUGGUUCUUGAUCUCAUUACUGUCUGAAAGAUUUGGCUGGCAUUUUUAAAUGCCAUGAUUUAUGUUCUUCACCUUAACACGGCCCUUGGUAGUGUAAACCCAGUAACUCUAUUAUUCUCCAGGGCAACUUCUAAGAAUCUGAUUGGAGAAUUUUCACAACACUGUGUCUGUAAGAAAAUAUUAACAUGGAUUAAGACAAGUUGAUAGAUAUUAAACCAGGCUAUAGAAUGAGAACCAGUGAGAAUAAAUCAAAUAACUUUGCCUAACUACAGAAAGUAUUUGUAAAGCCCUGUAAGGUUUCCAUUUCCUACAGCCACCUGCCAUCUCAAAUGCCCCUAAUCAGUCACAGAUGUUGGAUACCAACCUGCUAACCCUAUGGCUUUGAGAGAAAAUAUUGCACUUUGUAAACUCAUUCUUGGGUAUUUCCUUAAUUUUUCUUAAACUAAACUUUCAUCCCUUAUUUUCCACUUAAAUGUAAUGAGUUAUAUCAACUCUGACAUUUUGCCCUGCUUACUCUUACAGUUCUGUUUAGCUACCUCUCGAAGACCUUAGCUUCUUUUUUCUUUUUUUUUUUUUAAUCAUUAGGGUACGUUUUUACUUCACAUCUCACGAUCGCCUUCCUGGCACUGAGGAAUCCAGCAAAAUACAGAGUUUAGACUUUUUCUGUAAUCAGUUCCCAACAGCAAAGUGCAUGUUCUUCUGUUCUUAACUGAUUUUUAUCUCCAUUAUGAAGAUAUAUCAAUUACGGAGCUUUUCUGAAGUAAUUUGAAAACAACAGCAAAAAGGUAUCAAGAAUAAAAUAAAAAUUCCACUCCUUAAGAAACAAGAGACAUUUUAGGAGCCUCAUCCAGCUCCCACUGGAAUCAAAAGCAAGAAUUUCACAGAUGAGGGAAGGUACCAAAACAGGCCACCCUGCCAAAGACCGUUAGCUGCUGUUAGGAUAUACCAGUACUGAAGCACGACGGUGGGUUUGGCUCGGCUCUGGAAGGAAGCAUUAUUCCACUUCAGCUUGUGAAGACAGAAUGGGAGUGAGAGUUGUAAUGGAGGUAGGAAGCAGACUGGAUUUUAUUAGUCUUCCAUCAUCUUUAAGAGAUCUCUAACCAGAUCAGGUUUCAACCUCUCCCUCCACUCUUGUGUCAACCUUUGGUUCUGUUUUUGCUGGAGGAUAAGUUUCAUUAUAUUAAUAAGCAGCACAAGUGGUUCCAAUUGUGGAAGAACCACUCGGAGCUGUCAGAAAUGAUCAGAGGAGAAGUUUCAACCUUUCCAUGAUCACAGCCUCUUCUUCUGGUGCCUCAACUCAGCACCUCCCUGGUGCGCUUCACAUUGCUCAGCAACCAUGACAAUAAUAAAAGGUACAUUUACAUUUCAGUGAGUGUAGAUUAUUUUAAGGAACUUUAUUCUCUAAUCAUAGUAGUACAGCAAUGCUCAUAAACCAGAUGCUAAUGGGAAUAAUUCAGCUAACAUCCAAACUACUGGCUGGAAGACUAGAUCUAGGCACGUACUUGGAUGAAACUAUUCAUCUUCAACCUUCUACUGCCGUCACAUUUCAAACACAAACACCUGUAAUCAUGCCACUGAGUUUGCGUUUCUUAUUACUAAUACAGAGGUGAUGAGAAAAACUCACAAAAAUACCCCAAAAGCUGAAACUGUUUGAACUGUAUCAUGGAGUGAUCGCUUACUGCUUACCAGCAAUAAUGCUAGUAUUUGUCUCCCUCAUUUCUCAAGGAAUGCAUUUUAGUUAGAAAUUACACAAUCCCUAUUUGGGUGAAAAUACUACCAGAUUAACUUUGCAGACAGGAAAGCGAAGCUGCAGGGCUGGGGACUGGGUUCAUGGAUCCACCAGGAAAUGACAGAGCCCUGCUUCUCCUCAACAGGUUCCUCCACUGCCCUGGGAGGAACUGAGUGAAGUUUAGUUUUCAAAUUAGACUCACCUGGGACUAGUCACUGAAAUGUCAUCCAUGAGAUGGAACAAAAAAAAAAAGAGGGGAGAAAUGUAAAAGGGAAUCUUUGUAGCCAGGACUACCUGACUCUCCCACAGUAGGAGACACAGGAAUACCGUUUCAUGUCAUGGAGAUGUAGUUAAAAUGCAGACUGCAUAUCCUUGUUCUCAGAAUUUGAGAGGUGUGGUUUAUGCAUGUGGACAAGCCAUCGUUCCUCCCUUUGAUCUAUCACUUGAUGUACAGAAAGGCUUUUAUGUGCUAGUCCCAUAUAAUGGAUAAUUUAGUCUGAAACCAUUAUGAAAAGUAUUACACUUUGGGUACAUAUGCUUCAAUUACUCUUGAAAGUACAUGGAAAUAUUUUAUGACAUUCACAUAUAUUUCAAGGUAAGAAAAAAAAACAAACAACAAACCCAAACCAGAAUUUUUGUUUACCAUUCAAACAAAUUUGUUCUCCCAAGGCAAGUUUAUAUGUAUUUUAAAAUAAUUCUGCCAUUGUAUGAAAUAUAUUUUAAGGCAGAAUGUAACUAGUAUUUUUGAAUGUUAAAUAGGAAAAAUGUUAAAGUCAUCAUUCAUUAAAACUACUAAUGGUAUGUAUUGCUCUUUAGCUGUGUAUUUUUAUUCUGUUUAUGAAUAAAACUACUUAACGUAAAACGUAA